Molecule: transfer RNA, 73 nt
Filed under: Candidatus Omnitrophota bacterium
Lineage: Bacteria; Pseudomonadati; Candidatus Omnitrophota
Description: tRNA-Lys
Rfam family: tRNA
About the family: Transfer RNA (tRNA) molecules are approximately 80 nucleotides in length. Their secondary structure includes four short double-helical elements and three loops (D, anti-codon, and T loops).
Source: RNAcentral
AGGCCGCUAGCUCAUCCGGCAGAGCACCGCCCUUUUAAGGCGGGAGUGGCGGGUUCGAGUCCCGCGCGGCCUA